AAAAUGUAACGUACUUAUUGAAAAAAUAAUAAAAUUGGAAAUCCGAUAUGAAUGUGGUCGACCCGAACCCGGUUCAGUGGAUCCAGAUCCACUGUCGUUAACAAACAAUCUCUCUAUUCAAAUCCCACCUUACUCCGGCGAGGACCUAACUCAGCGAGUCUCCGAUCGAGUCAGAUGGGGACGGGAACUAACGUCGAGUUGAAGUACGAGAUCUCACAGAACGCAUACAUCAAACUCGUCCUCCACUCCCUUCGCCACAAAACGGCGGCGGUCAACGGAGUCCUCGUCGGUCGAAUCAGCCCUAACGAAGAAGGCGUCGUGGAGAUCUCCGACUCCGUGCCGCUCUUUCACUCCAACCUCCCCCUCCUUCCUCCCCUCGAAAUCUCCCUCAUCAUGAUAGAGGAGCAUUACGUGGCUCGAGGUUUGAGUGUUGUUGGCUACUUUCACGCCAACGAGAGGUUCGAUGACGUGGAGGUCUCUGGUGUGGCUAAGAACAUUGGUGAUCACAUCUCUCGCUACUUCCCUCACGCACCGAUUCUCUUGCUGAACAACAAGAAGCUUGAAGGCUUAUCAAAGGUGUGUGUAUAUUCUAGCUUUGUGUGAGAGAUGCUUCCAAGAACUGGAGAGUGGUUGGAGCUGAUGGAGGAAGCAAGUUGCUCUUAAAAGAGCCAUCCGCCAAUGUGGUUUUGUCAGAUUACAUUUCGUCUGAGAAGUGGAAAGAAGUCAUAGAUUUUGAUGAUCAUCUUGAUGAUGUCACCAAGGACUGGCUAAACCCUGGACUUUUCAACUGAACACGGGCUUGCAAUAUAGUUAAUUAGAGUUUUGCUUUCAUCAUCUUCAGUCGAAAAACAAAAUAUUCUCAGACCCUUCUUGUUUACAGUUUCCUUUAAAUCUUGUUCAAGUAUUAUCCAGAGCUUACAGAACAGAGGUCAGUUUACUUUUAAUUGGUCACAUCUUGAACCAAAAUUUUAUCAUUUUAAUGAUAUAUUUUGGGGCUUGUUCUCGUGAUCGAUUUUUCUUUUGUCUCUUUGGUUGUCUCUUUGAUCAUUUAGUUGGAAUGAAAAGCUAUGCUUGAUUUGUU
Brassica rapa (field mustard) is the source of this 1081-nucleotide RNA transcript. It is a transcript of the gene named ER membrane protein complex subunit 8/9 homolog, with no coding region annotated. NCBI's taxonomy places the organism in Eukaryota, Viridiplantae, Streptophyta, Magnoliopsida, Brassicales, Brassicaceae. The record is from RefSeq and is a predicted model, not a curated record.